RNAcentral lists this long non-coding RNA (7322 nucleotides) under Salmo salar (Atlantic salmon). RNAcentral describes it as "lncRNA (ENSSSAG00000093643.1)". Lineage: Eukaryota; Metazoa; Chordata; Actinopteri; Salmoniformes; Salmonidae. The record is from RNAcentral.
GGAGACUGUGUGAAUCAGGCCUUCAUGGUCAAAUUGCUGCAAAGAAACCAUUACUUAAGGACACCAAUAAUAAGAUAGACUUGCUUGGGCAAAGAAACAGGAUCAGUAAAUCAAAUGAAAGUGUAUUUGUCACGUGCGCCGAAUACAACAGGUGUAGACCUUACAGUGAAAUGCUUACUUACAGGCUCUAACCAAUAGUGCAAAAAAGGUAUUAGGUGAACAAUAGGUAAGUAAAGAAAUAGAACGACAGUAAAAAGACAGGCUAUAUACAGUAGCGAGGCUAUAAAAGUAGUGAGGCUACAUACAGACACGGGUUAGUCAGGCUGAUUGAGGUAGUAUGUACAAGUAGAUAUGGUUAAAGUGACUAUGCAUAUAUGAUGAACAGAGAGUAGCAGUAGCUACUUGGUGGGUGGGACACAAUGCAGAUAGCCCGGUUAGCCAAUGUGCGGGAGCACUGGUUGGUCGGCCCAAUUGAGGUACUAUGUACAUCAAUGUAUAGUUAAAGUAACUAUGCAUUUAUGUUAAACAGAGAGUAGCAGCAGCAUAAAAAGAGGGGUUGGGGGGGCACACAAUGCAAAUAGUCCGGGUAGCCAUUUGAUUACCUGUUCAGGAGUCUUAUGGCUUGGGGGUAAAAACUGUUCAGAAGCCUUUUUGUCCAAGACUUGGCACUCCGGUACCGCUUGCCAUGCGGUAGUAGAGAGAACAGUCUAGGACUGGGGUGGCUGGGGUCUUUGACAAUUUCUAGGGCCUUCCUCUGACACCGCCUGGUGUAGAGGUCUUGGAUGGCUGGCAGCUUAGCCCCAGUGAUGUACUGGGGCUAGACAUUAGACAUUAGACCGGUGGAAAUCUGUCCUUUGGUCUGAUGAGUCCAAAUUUGAGAUUUUUGGUUCCAACCGCCGUGUCUUUGUGAGACGCAGAGUAGGUGAACAGAUGAUCUCCGCAUGUGUGGUUCCCACCGUGAAGAAUGGAGGAGGAGGUGUGAUGGUGUGGGGGUGAUUUGCUGAUGAAACUGUCUGUGAUUUAUUUAGAAUUAAAGGCACACUUAACCAGUGUCGUGUCUUUGGGGUACCAUUAAACUGAAGACAUGUUUAUCAAUUAACUCCCUGUAAUUAUUAUCAGGCGAUUAAAGUGAUUAAUCGUUUAAUUGUAAUUAACUAGGAGAUCGGGGCACCAAGGAAAAUAUUCAGAUUACAAAGUUAUAAUUUUCCUAAUAUAACUUUCCUAUAUUAUAACAUUAUAUAUUAUAUUCUAUUAUAGUAUAGGCCGAUUAUCUUCUGGUUUAAAUGGUGUAUUUUACCUCGCGUCCAGUCACAUUCCAAACGUCGUAAAUUGUUGUAUCUGCACAAACCCAGCCUUUACUAAGAGUCAUCCAUACAUCAAUUGUCUUAAAAUCAUUUAUUUACUAAACUAAGUAAUUCACAGAAAGCAUACAAACAGUAAUUAUCAUCACAAAGAAUUGGUAGAGUAAUGUGGCCUAGUGGCUAACAGGCAUGGCUGGUGUCUUGUUCAACAAUGGGUCAUAAAAGUUCAGCUGAGGAGGGACACAGAGUUCAUUAAUAUUAACAAUUGACAUGCUAAUCCUUUGCACAUGAACGCUCACUCAUUUGGGAACAAUUGCAAUCAAUAUAUAUUUACGCUCAGUGUGUCGUCGGGAUCCUUGUUGGAGCGUCGUUCUGUUGGAGAGUUUUGUCCGCGCUCUCUCUCUCUCUCUCUCUCUCGGUUAGAAUGGAUCUUUCAAAGCGACAUUCAUUAAUGUCGUUAUAGAAUGGAUGUUUCGUUGGUCUUCGCGUUCAAUUAUAUAAUUUCUAGCUGCAGACUAUUAAUUAAUAUCAAAGACUUGUUCUUAUUCUGUCGGUAUCAAUAGUCUAAAAGUUAACCACGUGGUAUAGUUCACUUUCAGUAAAGUACUUGGAUGGUCAAACCUAUUGGCCAACUCGCAAUGGAGUGGAGGCCUGGUCUCUAGAAAGUAAAUCAGGGUGGGGUGGUUUUAUAGUGAACAUAGAACAGGCUUGUCACAUGACGCCUGGUCCUGUCUGUGUCCCUGGGGGCGUGCCGAUGACUGAGUUAAGCUUGGUACAGAAAUACAAUUCUAUCACAUUAACAUCAGUACAUAGCAUCUCAAUGCACUACAAAUAGCUUUAUCCUUAUUAAUACAUUUUAUACAACCAUGUGGAUGCAAGUCCCAUCGCUGAGGCUAUUAUAUAAACAGUUUUAUGGUAAUAUGGCUAUAUUGUCUCUUCUGAGUAUCACAAAAUUGUACCAAGUGGACCAGUUCGUAGCUGGAUUCUUCACCAGUCUUCCAUACCUUCUCCAGAACACAAAUGUCGCUUGGCUCCCCAAUUCUGUGAGUUGGAAGAAUUUCCUGUGUCUCUCUAUGGGCCAUGUGGCAAGAGAUUCUCCUCUUAGAGUUUUACAACCCUUUCACACAGGGCCUGGGUGGGGGGAGGUAGGUUGGGGGAUGGUGCAAGGGGGGAGGGGGUCAACUGUCCUCUCUGUACUCAAAGAGGCCAACGUCAUGACACCAGCAUGGCUACCACAGCAUUCUGCAGCGAUACGCGAUACAUCUGGUUUGUGCUUAGUGGGACUAUCAUUUGUUUUACAACAUGACAAUGACCCAACACACCUCCAGGCUGUGUAAGGGCUAUUUCACCAAGAAGGAGAGUGAUGGAGUGCUGCAUCCGAUGACCUGGCCUCCACAAUCACCCAACCUCAACCCAACUGAGAUGGUUUGGGAUGAGUUGGACCGCAGAGUGAAGGAAAAGCAGCCAACAAGUGCUCAGCAUAUGUGGGAACUCCUUCAAGACUGUUGGAAAAGCAUUCCAGGUGAAGCUGGUUAAGAGAAUGCCAAGAGUGUGCAAAGCUGUCAAGGCAAAGGGUGGCUAUCUGAAGAAUAUAAAAUAUAUUUUGACACUUUUUUGGCUACUACACUUUUUUAGUUACUACAUGAUUCCAUAUUCCAUAUACUUGUGUUGAUGUCUUCACUAUUAUUCUACAUUGUAGAAAAUAGUAAAAAAUAAAGCAAAACCCUUGAAUGAGUAGGUGUAUCCAAACUUUUGACUGGUACUGUAUAUAUUUCGUGGCUUGGGGCUGACACAACUUUAGAAAGUGUGUGUGUGUGUGUAUCAUUGCCUCCGUGGGAGUGUGUGUGUGUGUGUGUGUGUGUGUAGGACAGGAUGCAUUAUGUCAUGGCUUGGGGUGCUUUGUCAAUGUACUUCAUAUUGUUUGUUACAUGGACCUAGCUCUGUUCCCUCACUGGCCAGUCAGAGGAGCGUGCUGUGAGUGUCUCUCUCUCUCUGUUUCUCUCUGUUCCCUCACUGGCCAGUCAGAGGAGCGUGCUGUGAGUGUCUCUCUCUCUGUUUCUCUCUGUUCCCUCACUGGCCAGUCAGAGGAGCGUGCUGUGAGUGUCUCUCUCUCUGUUUCUCUCUGUUCCCUCACUGGCCAGUCAGAGGAGCGUGCUGUGAGUGUCUCUCUCUCUUGUUUCUCUCUGUUCCCUCACUGGCCAGUCAGAGGAGCGUGCUGUGAGUGUCUCUCUCUCUGUUUCUCUCUGUUCCCUCACUGGCCAGUCAGAGGAGCGUGCUGUGAGUGUCUCUCUCUCUGUUUCUCUCUGUUCCCUCACUGGCCAGUCAGAGGAGCGUGCUGUGAGUGUCUCUCUCUCUGUUUCUCUCUGUUCCCUCACUGGCCAGUCAGAGGAGCGUGCUGUGGGUGUUGUGAGUCAGAGGCUAAUUGCCAGGUCAGUGUGCCAGCGAGUGCCAGCAGCCGUCUGUGCCCACUAGAAUACAUCUCUCACGCCUCCCCUCUAAUACCACUCUUUCUCUUUCUCUUCACCCACCACCCCCUGUGUCUGCUCGCUCUAGGGGUGACUUCCCUGGCGGCGCUAACACAGCCGUUAGACACAGAAACACCUGGCCUCGGAACAAGGAACCGGCAGACACACUGGCUGCUUCACCUUAACAAGCUCUUGAAUUUCACUUAUGUUGUAUAGACUGUCUGUAUGUGAUGUGGGACAAUGGGCACAGUUCCAUUGGCGCCACAAAUGAUCUGAACAAGGAGGCUGAGCAGACCCGUCUCAAAAUGACAUAGCCGCCAUAGAACUAAGUCACAGCUAAUAGGCAUGGUGAGAAAAACAUACUACAUAGCACUUGCAAACUCAUGUCAAAACAUAGUCUUUAAUGCAUCCAUCAUUCUGUGUACAAUCUCUGUGUAGAAUCUGUAUGACACUGCUAUGUUUCCAGGUGUUUUCUAAUGAUAAAGAAUGAGUCCCGUUGUAAUAAUCAUUCUAUAGGCUUCUCUCUCUGGGGUUACGUUGUAGCUGGUGCCAGAGAACUGAGUGUGGGUUCACUGCCCUGCAUGUUAGUGUGGGUGUGAGUCCACUGCCCUGCAUGUUAGUGUGGGUGUGAGUCCACUGCCCUGCAUGUUAGUGUGGGUGUGAGUCCACUGCCCUGCAUGUUAGUGUGGGUGUGAGUCCACUGCCCUGCAUGUUAGUGUGGGUUCACUGCCCUGCAUGUUAGUGUGGGUGUGAGUCCACUGCCCUGCAUGUUAGUGUGGGUGUGGGUCCACUGCCCUGCAUGUUAGUGUGGGUGUGAGUCCACUGCCCUGCAUGUUAGUGUGGGUGUGAGUCUACUGCCCUGCAUGUUAGUGUGGGUGUGGGUCCACUGCCCUGCAUGUUAGUGUGGGUGUGAGUCCACUGCCCUGCAUGUUAGUGUGGGUGUGGGUCCACUGCCCUGCAUGUUAGUGUGGGUGUGAGUCCACUGCCCUGCAUGUUAGUGUGGGUGUGAGUCCACUGCCCUGCAUGUUAGUGUGGGUGUGAGUUCACUGCCCUGCAUGUUAGUGUGGGUUCACUGCCCUGCAUGUUAGUGUGGGUGUGAGUCCACUGCCCUGCAUGUUAGUGUGGGUGUGAGUCCACUGCCCUGCAUGUUAGUGUGGGUGUGGGUCCACUGCCCUGCAUGUUAGUGUGGGUGUGAGUCCACUGCCCUGCAUGUUAGUGUGGGUGUGAGUCCACUGCCCUGCAUGUUAGUGUGGGUGUGGGUCCACUGCCCUGCAUGUUAGUGUGGGUGUGAGUCCACUGCCCUGCAUGUUAGUGUGGGUGUGGGUUCACUGCCCUGCAUGUUAGUGUGGGUGUGGUUCCACUGCCGUGCAUGUUAGUGUGGGUGUGGGUCCACUGCCCUGCAUGUUAGUGUGGGUGUGGGUCCACUGCCCUGCAUGUUAGUGUGGGUGUGGGUCCACUGCCCUGCAUGUUAGUGUGGGUGUGGGUCCACUGCCCUGCAUGUUAGUGUGGGUUCACUGCCCUGCAUGUUAGUGUGGGUGUGGUUCCACUGCCCUGCAUGUUAGUGUGGGUGUGGGUCCACUGCCCUGCAUGUUAGUGUGGGCCCACUGCCCUGCAUGUUAGUGUGGGUGUGGGUCCACUGCCCUGCAUGUUAGUGUGGGUGUGGUUCCACUGCCCUGCAUGUUAGUGUGGGUGUGGGUCCACUGCCCUGCAUGUUAGUGUGGGUGUGGGUCCACUGCCCUGCAUGUUAGUGUGGGUGUGGUUCCACUGCCCUGCAUGUUAGUGUGGGUGUGGUUCCACUGCCCUGCAUGUUAGUGUGGGUCCACUGCCCUGCAUGUUAGUGUGGGUCCACUGCCCUGCAUGUUAGUGUGGGUGUGGGUCCACUGCCCUGCAUGUUGGUGUGGGUCCACUGCCCUGCAUGUUGGUGUGGUUCCACUGCCCUGCAUGUUAGUGUGGGUGUGGGUCCACUGCCCUGCAUGUUGGUGUGGGUCCACUGCCCUGUAUGUUAGUGUGGGCCCACUGCCCUGCAUGUUGGUGUGGGUCCACUGCCCUGCAUGUUAGUGUGGGUCCACUGCCCUGCAUGUUAGUGUGGGUCCACUGCCCUGCAUGUUGGUGUGGGUCCACUGCCCUGUAUGUUAGUGUGGGUCCACUGCCGUGCAUGUUAGUGUGGGUCCACUGCCCUGCAUGUUAGUGUGGGUCCACUGCCCUGCAUGUUAGUGUGGGUCCACUGCCCUGCAUGCUAGUGUGGGUCCACUGCCCUGCAUGUUAGUGUGGGCCCACUGCCCUGCAUGUUAGUGUGGGUCCACUGCCCUGCAUGUUAGUGUGGGUCCAAUGCCCUGCAUGUUAGUGUGGGUCCAAUGCCCUGCAUGUUGGUGUGGGUCCACUGCCCUGCAUGUUAGUGUGGGUCCACUGCCCUGCAUGUUAGUGUGGGUCCACUGCCCUGCAUGUUGGUGUGGGUCCACUGCCCUGCAUGUUAGUGUGGGUCCACUGCCCUGCAUGUUAGUGUGGGUCCACUGCCCUGCAUGUUAGUGUGGGCCCACUGCUGCAUGUUAGUGUGGGUCCAUUGCCCUGCAUGUUAGUGUGGGUGUGGGUCCACUGCCCUGCAUGUUUGCGUGGAUGUGUGAACAAGUUGAAGACCUGUAAUUUCCGUAUUCUUCAGAAGCAUCUCACAGGGGCACACCUACAUCAGUGAGGAGUGUGUUUGUGUGUUUGUGCGUGUGUGUGUGUCUCCCAGUUCUGUAACAGUCUCAUGAGAACACACAUACAGUCAGGAAGGGACUGGUCCACCAUCACUCUCCACCCGGACUGGGACUAAACCCAACCCAUACAGGACCUUAGACCAACACACCACACAAUGUUAGGACCGGAGCAGCGCUAGCCAGGGAAUAGCUGUCCUCACACACACACACACACACACAGGGCUGUCUUCCCAGAGUGGCCGACAGAACAUGGAUCGCAUCCCAGUCAAACACUUCAGCCCUAACACUGUAUCUCUGCACCUCUGUCUAAAACAGUAUGUUUUUCCAUUCAUUCACAGGAGAAGCCUUGUAUUGUGUUUUGGUUUGAAUUGAAUACUCCCUUUAUUCCCCCACAUACCAGUGAGCAAUUCUUUCUUGACAUAAUAUUAGAUAUUUGGACAUUUUCAUUAGCUCAACCUAUAAAUUAAAACAUUAGAUUAGACUAGAAAUAGUACAUUUUCUGAAGCAGUCUAAAGUAUGUUUCCUCGACUCCAGCCAUUUCAAAUUUCUGCAGGAUGCCUGGAUUCAUUUGAAUUUAGCCCACCCCUUUUAAGUUGGCAGUUUGAGUGAUUGACAGGAAGGAAUGUUCCACAGGAUUUCACAACAGAAAGGCCAAUGUUUGUGGGAUUGUAAAACAGUCCUGUACAGAGAGCGAACAGUAGCUAGCAACAUCACAACAUAUUGGUAUCACACUGUGAUUCUGACCUGAGAUAGAGCUUCUAGACGUCUUAUUCAGAACUCAGUUAGGAGCUAACUACUGGAGGACUCCUGUUCUUCUACCCAUUCAGAACUCAGUAAGGAGGACUCCUGUUCUACUACCC